RNAcentral lists this long non-coding RNA (261 nucleotides) under Lathyrus oleraceus (garden pea). RNAcentral's name for it is "Pisum sativum (pea) long non-coding RNA (PSAT_LNC015913)". Lineage: Eukaryota; Viridiplantae; Streptophyta; Magnoliopsida; Fabales; Fabaceae. The record is from RNAcentral.
UUGACGUCUCAGCGUCUCCUUUCAGUGUUUGUUUCGGCGUGCGUUAGCCGAGCUACGAGUGCUCUGAUUCUUUCUCUGGUUAGAGAAGAUACGUAUGCAUAGGAUGCGAUGUCCUAGCGAGCAUGUUUCCAUUUCCCCGAACUACGUCGACUCUGAUGUUUGUUUCUGACAAACUACGUAGGCCUAGGAUGCGACAUCCUGCCGAGUCCCCUUCCUCCGUCUUCUUUUGCCUGUGUUUCAUUCCAGAUUGUGCAGUCUUUG